Non-coding RNA from Nomia melanderi (Alkali bee), 1046 nucleotides. The record is from RefSeq and is a predicted model, not a curated record. Lineage: Eukaryota; Metazoa; Arthropoda; Insecta; Hymenoptera; Halictidae.
UUUGAUCUUUCAGCGAUGAAGCGUCGAACGGCCUGCUUUAUUGGCCAGGACGCUGCUGAGUCCUGGCUCGAUAACAAGCGAAUCGCACGGGUGUCGCGGGUGUCGACGAUGCACGAUGAAACGCAACGACCAGUGACGAGCUACCGUAUCGUUCUGGAGUCGCUAAAAGCCUCGUGGCUUACGGCAAGUGUACAUUUAUCCCUGCGAAGCAGUUCGAACGCGACCACGAGGAGGUCAUCCGUAGCGAGAGGUGGGGAUCCAUGCACACCUCGGUGUCGUCGUCGCUUCGACAAUGUCCCGCCGCGUGGGAGGACGUUAGAGGAAGGGAAAACGCCGGAAAAUGAGCCAGCCUCAUCGAUGCCACUUCCUGCUUCGCCCCGGCCGGUCGACCGUCCUGAGAAUUCAAGCGCCAUUGUGUCACCGUCCCAUCGGUCUUUAAUUCAAAUCGUGAUUCAUAAUUUUGCAAGUUUUAAUGACGUGGGAAGCGAACGGGGCGAAAAUUGCGCCGCUACGCCGGUGGUCAUUGUUCGGGUGAAGCUUUCGACGACGUUCAUCGCGAUCUUCCGCUAUCAGCGAACAGCCGUGGGAAAUAGUCCGGCGCGAAAUCACCGAUCAAUAUUCACCGCGAAGACUCGUCCAAGGUGAUCUCCGCGACGUGAAGAAGUCAUUUCCAUCGAUCGCGGAACACGUCCGCUCGUGAUGCAUAACGACAGUGACUAAACGCGACUCAUUCAUCGGCAUGAAAAUUAUAAACAACCGCGCCCUGCCGGCGGGGAUAGAUCCCACGAUGAUCUGGAACGCGUGUAAGUACCACGUAACUGCGGCGUCUACGACGGUUCACGAGGCCUUGAGUUAUUACGGAGAACCUCUGCCCAGGUGCAUGCGUUUUCCGCAGAUUCUGGAUUUUUAAGGAAUAUCGAUUUUUAUUUCGAUUUGGAAAUAACUGGGAGAAUUUAUAGUUAAAACUAUGUAAGAGAAAAGUAAGUACCAAAAAACGUCUAUUUGAAACCGACAAAUCCGAAGGAACAAUUACGUUACAAGACGGC